GCUGAGCGUGAUGGCUCAUGCGUGUAAUCCCAGCACUUUGGAGGCUGAGGCAUGAGGAUUGCUUGAGCCCAGGUGUUUGAGACAAGCCUAGGAAGCACAGUGAGACCCCAUCUCUACAAAAAAAUUAAAAUUAGCUGGGCAUGGUGGCACAUGCCUGUAGUCCCAGCUACUCAAGAGGCUGAGGCAGAAGGAUCACUUGAGCCUCAGGAGUUUGAGGCUACGGUGAGCCAUGAUCACACCACUGCCCUCCAGCCUGGGCAACAGAGCAAGACCCUGUCUCU
This 281-nucleotide small RNA is filed under the name Pan troglodytes (chimpanzee). RNAcentral's name for it is "Metazoan signal recognition particle RNA (ENSPTRG00000043656.1)". Lineage: Eukaryota; Metazoa; Chordata; Mammalia; Primates; Hominidae. The record is from RNAcentral.